GCCCGGGUGGCGAAAUUGGUAGACGCACCAGCUUCAGGUGCUGGCGUUGCGAGACGUAUCGGUUCGAGUCCGAUCCCGGGCA
This 82-nucleotide transfer RNA is filed under the name Sutterella sp. CAG:521. It matches the Rfam family "tRNA". From Rfam's summary of the family: Transfer RNA (tRNA) molecules are approximately 80 nucleotides in length. Lineage: Bacteria; Pseudomonadati; Pseudomonadota; Betaproteobacteria; Burkholderiales; Sutterellaceae. The record is from Rfam by way of RNAcentral.